GUAGGGAAUAUUGGGCAAUGGAUGCAAGUCUGACCCAGCCAUCCCGCGUGCCGGAAGAAGGCCCUCAGGGUUGUAAACGGCUUUUGACGGUGAAGAAUCGACAGGAUGCGUCCUGUUUUGACGGUAGCCGUUGAAUAAGCACCGGCUAACUCCGUGCCAGCAGCCGCGGUAAUACGGAGGGUGCGAGCGUUGUCCGGAUUUAUUGGGUUUAAAGGGUGCGUAGGCUGGAAGGUCAGUCAGCGGUGAAAAGCUGUCGCUUAACGAUAGUCUUGCCGCAGAUACUUCCUUUCGUGGAUGAGGAGGAGGCCACUGGAACGGAUGGUGUAGCGGUGAAAUGCAUAGAUAUCAUCCAGAACACCGAUUGCGAAGGCAGGUGGCUGUACCUUAAUCGACGCUGAUGCACGAAAGCAUGGGGAGCAAACAGGAUUAGAAACCCGAGUAGUCC
RNAcentral lists this ribosomal RNA (445 nucleotides) under uncultured bacterium. Its description in RNAcentral is "partial 16S ribosomal RNA". It matches the Rfam family "Bacterial small subunit ribosomal RNA", at positions 354 to 796 of the family's 1533-position model. The record is from RNAcentral.